RNAcentral lists this transfer RNA (72 nucleotides) under Camelus bactrianus (Bactrian camel). It matches the Rfam family "tRNA". Rfam says of the family: Transfer RNA (tRNA) molecules are approximately 80 nucleotides in length. Their secondary structure includes four short double-helical elements and three loops (D, anti-codon, and T loops). Lineage: Eukaryota; Metazoa; Chordata; Mammalia; Artiodactyla; Camelidae. RNAcentral also lists the same sequence under 2 other names. The record is from Rfam by way of RNAcentral.
GAGGGUAUAGCUCAGUGGUAGAGCACGUGCUCAGCAUGAAUGAGGUCCUGAGUUCAAUCCUCAGUGCCUCCA